AAGGCAGUAAGUUAAUCUUUAAACUAUCACCCUUCAAAGGUGAAAAUGGAAUAUUCCUUGCCUUA
Molecule: transfer RNA, 65 nt
Filed under: Chelopistes texanus
Lineage: Eukaryota; Metazoa; Arthropoda; Insecta; Psocodea; Philopteridae
Description: tRNA-Trp
Source: RNAcentral